Molecule: ribosomal RNA, 468 nt
Filed under: uncultured bacterium
Lineage: Bacteria
Description: partial 16S ribosomal RNA
Rfam family: Bacterial small subunit ribosomal RNA
Source: RNAcentral
GACGAACGCUGGCGGCGUGCUUAACACAUGCAAGUCGAACGGAAAGGCCCUGCUUUUGUGGGGUGCUCGAGUGGCGAACGGGUGAGUAUCACGUGAGUAUCCUGCCCCUGUCUUUGGGAUAACUUCAGGAAACUGGGGCUCUUACAGGAUAGGAGCUAUUGCUGCACGGUGGGGGUUGGUAAGUUUCGGCGGUGGGGGCUGGACUCGCGGCUUAUCAGCUUGUUGGUGGGGUAGUGGCUGACAAGGGCUUUGACGGGUAGCCGGCCUGGGAGGGUGACCGGCCACAUUGGGACUGAGAGACGGCCCAGACUCCAACGGGAGGCAGCGGUGGGGAAUAUUGCACAGUGGGCGGAAGCCUGAUGCAGCAGCGCCGCGUGCGGGAUGACGGCCUUCGAGUUGUAAACCGCUUUCGCCUGUGACGAGGCGUGAGUGACGGUAAUGGGUAAAGAAGCACCGGCUAACUACGUG